Molecule: non-coding RNA, 210 nt
Organism: Pelobates cultripes (western spadefoot toad)
Lineage: Eukaryota; Metazoa; Chordata; Amphibia; Anura; Pelobatidae
Source: the annotation of a GenBank genome assembly
GCUGAAUCCACACGCACAAACUGCUGAGUCCACACACACAGACUGCUUAGUCCUCCCCACACACACACAGACUGCGGAGUCCAUGCACACACAGACUGCUGAGUCCACACACACAGACACAGACUGCUGAGUCCCCCCCACACAAACACACAGAGACUGCUGAGUCCAUGCACACACAGAGACUGCUGAGUCCCCCCCCACACACAGACU